GAUGAACGCUGGCGGCGUGCCUAAUACAUGCAAGUCGAGCGAACAGACGAGGAUCUUGCUCCUCUGACGUUAGCGGCGGACGGGUGAGUAACACGUGUAUAACCUACCUAUAAGACUGGGAUAACUUCGGGAAACCGGAGCUAAUACCGGAUAAUAUAUUGAACCGCAUGGUUCAAUAGUGAAAUACGGUUUUGCUGUCACUUAUAGAUGGAUCCGCGCCGCAUUAGCUAGUUGGUAAGGUAACGGCUUACCAAGGCGACGAUGCGUAGCCGACCUGAGAGGGUGGUCGGCCACCCUGGAGCUUGGACACGGACCAGACUCCUACGGGAGGGAGCAGUAGGGAAUGUGAGGCAAUGGUCGAAAGCCUGGCGGAGCGAGGGCGCGUGUGUGAUGAAGGUCUUCGGAUCGUAAAGACCUGUUAUUAGGGAAGAACAGCUGUGUAAGUAGAUGUGGACGUCUUGACGGUACCUAGUCAGAAAGCCCCGGCUAACUACGUG
Molecule: ribosomal RNA, 497 nt
Filed under: uncultured bacterium
Lineage: Bacteria
Description: partial 16S ribosomal RNA
Rfam family: Bacterial small subunit ribosomal RNA
Source: RNAcentral